This is a non-coding RNA of Cordylochernes scorpioides, 72 nucleotides long. Lineage: Eukaryota; Metazoa; Arthropoda; Arachnida; Pseudoscorpiones; Chernetidae. The record is from the annotation of a GenBank genome assembly.
GUGUCCAGGGAUGGGAAUCGAACCCACAAUGUUCCGCUUACCAGGCAGAUGCCACAUGUCCACUAGACUAUA